RNAcentral lists this ribosomal RNA (274 nucleotides) under uncultured bacterium. Its description in RNAcentral is "partial 16S ribosomal RNA". It matches the Rfam family "Bacterial small subunit ribosomal RNA", at positions 523 to 796 of the family's 1533-position model. The record is from RNAcentral.
AUACGAAGGUGGCGAGCGUUGUUCGGAUUUACUGGGCGUAAAGCGUGCGUAGGUGGUUUCGUGUGUCGGAUGUGAAAGCCCGAGGCUCAACCUCGGAAGGCCAUUCGAAACUGCGGAACUAGAGUGCAGGAGGGGAGAGCGGGAUUCUUGGCGUAGCGGUGAAAUGCGUUGAUAUCAAGAAGAACACCGGUGGCGAAGGCGGCUCUCUGGAAUGCUACUGACACUGAGGCACGAAAGCUGGGGGAGCAAACAGGAUUAGAAACCCCAGUAGUCC